RNAcentral lists this ribosomal RNA (465 nucleotides) under uncultured bacterium. RNAcentral's name for it is "partial 16S ribosomal RNA". It matches the Rfam family "Bacterial small subunit ribosomal RNA", at positions 339 to 795 of the family's 1533-position model. The record is from RNAcentral.
CUACGGGUUGCUGCAGUGGGGAAUAUUGCGCAAUGGGCGAAAGCCUGACGCAGCAACGCCGUGUGAGGGAUGAAGGCUUUCGGGUCGUAAACCUCUGUCAGAAGGGAAGAACGGGUAUUGGUCUAAUAGGCCUUUAUUUUGACGGUACCUUCAGAGGAAGCACCGGCUAACUCCGUGCCAGCAGCCGCGGUAAUACGGAGGGUGCAAGCGUUAUUCGGAAUUACUGGGCGUAAAGCGCACGUAGGCCGCUUUGUAAGUCAGGGGUGAAAUCCCACGGCUCAACCGUGGAACUGCCUUUGAAACUGCAGAGCUUGAAUCCUGGAGAGGGUGGCGGAAUGCCUGGUGUAGGAGUGAAAUCCGUAGAUAUCAGGAGGAACACCGGUGGCGAAGGCGGCCACCUGGACAGGUAUUGACGCUGAGGUGCGAAAGUGUGGGGAGCAAACAGGAUUAGAUACCCCAGUAGUC